AACAGGUGCAUAUAUUUCAAGAUCAUCUGCAAUUACAAAAAGAGAAGGAAUUCCGCUAUCAGGAACAGCUUCAAAAAGAAAUAAAAGAGAAGGAGCAGAUACAGCAAGAUCGAGACAAAGAGCAGCAACAGUUUCUUCAAGAAAAGACAACACUUAGUCAGCAACUUGAUGAUGCUACCACUCUCCUUGAGCAAGCAGAAAAGGAUAAAUCAACUCUUGAAUAAGAAUAUAAUGAGAAGCUCAAAGUUAAAGUUUCUGAAAUAUUGGAAGAGAAGACACAAGUAGAGGAGAAGAAACAGAUUAUUACUGAAGGUUAUGAGAAACUGAAACUCAAAGUAGCUGAUAUGGAAGAAGAAUAUCUCAAGGAGAAACAGAUCAUUAUUGACGACAAUCAAAAUCUCAUUUCUGAAAAAGACAAAGUUAUAGCCAAACUGACAUCACAAGUAGAGGAACAAUCACAGAAUGAGAAACAGAUCAUUACUGAAAAGGAGUU
Molecule: long non-coding RNA, 493 nt
Organism: Amphimedon queenslandica
Lineage: Eukaryota; Metazoa; Porifera; Demospongiae; Haplosclerida; Niphatidae
Exons: 5
Source: RefSeq, a predicted model, not a curated record